This is a small nuclear RNA of Lutra lutra (Eurasian river otter), 106 nucleotides long. Lineage: Eukaryota; Metazoa; Chordata; Mammalia; Carnivora; Mustelidae. The record is from RefSeq and is a predicted model, not a curated record.
GCACUCACUUUGGCAGCCCAUAUACUAAAACUGGAACAAUACAGAGAACAUUAGCAUGGCCCCUGUGCAAGGAUGACAGGCAAAUUCAUGAAUGUUUCAUAUUAAA